GGUAAUUAGUUUAACUAAAAUAAAUGAUUUCGGCUCAUUAGACUAUGGUUCUACCCCAUAAUUGCCA
RNAcentral lists this transfer RNA (67 nucleotides) under Sigmodon ochrognathus (yellow-nosed cotton rat). RNAcentral's name for it is "tRNA-Arg". It matches the Rfam family "tRNA". From Rfam's summary of the family: Transfer RNA (tRNA) molecules are approximately 80 nucleotides in length. Their secondary structure includes four short double-helical elements and three loops (D, anti-codon, and T loops). Further hydrogen bonds mediate the characteristic L-shaped molecular structure. tRNAs have two regions of fundamental functional importance: the anti-codon, which is responsible for specific mRNA codon recognition, and the 3' end, to which the tRNAs corresponding amino acid is attached (by aminoacyl-tRNA synthetases). tRNAs cope with the degeneracy of the genetic code in two manners: having more than one tRNA (with a specific anti-codon) for a particular amino acid; and 'wobble' base-pairing, i.e. permitting non-standard base-pairing at the 3rd anti-codon position. Lineage: Eukaryota; Metazoa; Chordata; Mammalia; Rodentia; Cricetidae. The record is from RNAcentral.